UUGGAGGGCAAGUCUGGUGCCAGCAGCCGCGGUAAUUCCAGCUCCAAUAGCGUAUAUUAAAGUUGUUGCAGUUAAAAAGCUCGUAGUUGAAUUUCGGGGUCAGUAGGCUGGUCGUGCCACAGGUAUGUACUGGUCUCACUGAUUCCUCCUUCCUGAUGAACCGUAAUGCCAUUAAUUUGGUGUUGCGGGGAAUCUGGACUGUUACUUUGAAAAAAUUAGAGUGUUUAAAGCAGGCUAACGCUUGAAUACAUUAGCAUGGAAUAAUGAAAUAGGACGAUCGAUCCUAUUUUGUUGGUUUCUAGGAUUGACGUAAUGAUUAAUAGGGAUAGUUGGGGGCAUUAGUAUUCAAUUGUCAGAGGUGAAAUUCUUGGAUUUAUUGAAGACUAACUACUGCGAGAGCAUUUGCCAAGGAUGUUUUCAUUAAUCAAGAACGAAAGUUAGGGGAUCGAAGACGAUCAGAUACCGUCGUAGUCUUAACCAUAAACUAUGCCGACUAGGGAUCGGAUGAUGUUAAUUUUUUAAUGACUCAUUCGGCGCCUUACGGGAAA
Molecule: ribosomal RNA, 548 nt
Filed under: uncultured Glomeromycotina
Lineage: Eukaryota; Fungi; Glomeromycota
Description: SSU rRNA
Rfam family: Eukaryotic small subunit ribosomal RNA
Source: RNAcentral